GACGAACGCUGGCGGCGUGCUUAACACAUGCAAGUCGAACGAUGAACCGGUUUCGGCCGGGGAUUAGUGGCGAACGGGUGAGUAACACGUGGGCAAUCUGCCCUGCACUCUGGGAUAAGCCCGGGAAACUGGGUCUAAUACCGGAUACGACACUCCGAGGCAUCUUGGGGUGUGGAAAGUUCCGGCGGUGCAGGAUGAGCCCGCGGCCUAUCAGCUUGUUGGUGGGGUAAUGGCCUACCAAGGCGACGACGGGUAGCCGGCCUGAGAGGGUGACCGGCCACACUGGGACUGAGACACGGCCUAGACUCCUACGGGAGGCAGCAGUGGGGAAUAUUGCACAAUGGGCGAAAGCCUGAUGCAGCGACGCCGCGUGAGGGAUGACGGCCUUCGGGUUGUAAACCUCUUUCAGCAGGGAAGAAGCGAAAGUGACGGUACCUGCAGAAGAAGCACCGGCUAACUACGUG
This 464-nucleotide ribosomal RNA is filed under the name uncultured bacterium. RNAcentral's name for it is "partial 16S ribosomal RNA". It matches the Rfam family "Bacterial small subunit ribosomal RNA", at positions 28 to 507 of the family's 1533-position model. The record is from RNAcentral.